This 253-nucleotide ribosomal RNA is filed under the name uncultured bacterium. Its description in RNAcentral is "partial 16S ribosomal RNA". It matches the Rfam family "Bacterial small subunit ribosomal RNA", at positions 524 to 776 of the family's 1533-position model. The record is from RNAcentral.
UACAGAGGUGGCAAGCGUUGUUCGGAAUUACUGGGCGUAAAGGGCGCGUAGGCGGCCUUCUAAGUCGGACGUGAAAGCCCCAGGCUUAACCUGGGAACUGCGUCCGAUACUGGAAGGCUUGGAUUCGGGAGAGGGAUGUGGAAUUCCAGGUGUAGCGGUGAAAUGCGUAGAGAUCCGGAAGAACACCGGUGGCGAAGGCGGCCUGCUGGGACGUGGCUGACGCUGAGGCGCGACAGCGUGGGGAGCAAACAGG